Molecule: transfer RNA, 24 nt
Filed under: Ectropothecium longicaule
Lineage: Eukaryota; Viridiplantae; Streptophyta; Bryopsida; Hypnales; Pylaisiaceae
Description: partial tRNA-Leu
Source: RNAcentral
GCCGCCGUGGUGAAAUUGGUAGAC